RNAcentral lists this ribosomal RNA (497 nucleotides) under uncultured bacterium. Its description in RNAcentral is "partial 16S ribosomal RNA". It matches the Rfam family "Bacterial small subunit ribosomal RNA", at positions 28 to 507 of the family's 1533-position model. The record is from RNAcentral.
GAUGAACGCUGGCGGCGUGCCUAAUACAUGCAAGUCGAGCGAACAGACGAGGAGCUUGCUCCUCUGACGUUAGCGGCGGACGGGUGAGUAACACGUGGAUAACCUACCUAUAAGACUGGGAUAACUUCGGGAAACCGGAGCUAAUACCGGAUAAUAUAUUGAACCGCAUGGUUCAAUAGUGAAAGACGGUUUUGCUGUCACUUAUAGAUGGAUCCGCGCCGCAUUAGCUAGUUGGUAAGGUAACGGCUUACCAAGGCGACGAUGCGUAGCCGACCUGAGAGGGUGAUCGGACACACUGGAACUGAGACACGGUCCAGACUCCUAAGGGAGGCAGCAGUAGGGAAUCUUCCGCAAUGGGCGAAAGCCUGACGGAGCAACGCCGCGUGAGUGAUGAAGGUCUUCGGAUCGUAAAACUCUGUUAUUAGGGAAGAACAAAUGUGUAAGUAACUAUGCACGUCUUGACGGUACCUAAUCAGAAAGCCACGGCUAACUACGUG